AUCUGACCUAAUAUGUAGAUCAGGAUGAGCUGUGUAAGUGUGUAGCUUGCAAAGGGACACCUAUGAAGUGACUAUGAUCUCUGGAGAACCUGGCUUUUCUUCAUUCUGUUGAUGCAGAUAUACCGUACAGAGCAAACCAGAGGGAAUUUCCUCAGGUUCCAGGAGCAGAUGGAAAACAAUGAAACGAGAAAAGUGUUGGUGAGAGUCUCUGAAUGCCUUUGACGAGAGCAAAAAGCAGAAUGGCUCCGAAAACAAGAAACAAUGAAACACAAGGUCACAACUUUUCUAGACACAAUAGGACAUGUUCCUGGCUCAAAACACACACAUACAGUAUACAUGCAUACAUAAUAUACUGACACGAAGCUGCAGGACACAAACUCCUGACUUCUCACUUUCACACAUUCUGUAUUCUUCAUGCAAAAUUAAACAUUAAUCCUAACCAGGGUACAGAAGUCAUGAUUUCUACAAUAAACAAUAAAUCUGAGUGUUCUACACCAAA
Long non-coding RNA from Neoarius graeffei (lesser salmon catfish), 499 nucleotides. RefSeq lists it as uncharacterized. Lineage: Eukaryota; Metazoa; Chordata; Actinopteri; Siluriformes; Ariidae. The record is from RefSeq and is a predicted model, not a curated record. The transcript is spliced from 4 exons.